GAUGGAACGCUAGCUACAGGCUUAACACAUGCAAGUCGAGGGGCAGCAUGAAGGAAGCUUGCUUCCUUCGAUGGCGACCGGCGCACGGGUGAGUAACGCGUAUCCAACCUUCCCCUUAGUAGGGCAUAGCCCGGUGAAAGUCGGAUUAAUACUCUAUGUUGUAUUUCGAGGACAUCUGAAGAAUACCAAAGGUUUACCGGUAUGGGAUGGGGAUGCGUCUGAUUAGGUUGUUGGCGGGGUAACGGCCCACCAAGCCGACGAUCAGUAGGGGUUCUGAGAGGAAGGUCCCCCACAUUGGAACUGAGACACGGUCCAAACUCC
This 321-nucleotide ribosomal RNA is filed under the name uncultured Prevotella sp. RNAcentral describes it as "bacterial SSU rRNA". It matches the Rfam family "Bacterial small subunit ribosomal RNA", at positions 27 to 339 of the family's 1533-position model. Lineage: Bacteria; Pseudomonadati; Bacteroidota; Bacteroidia; Bacteroidales; Prevotellaceae. The record is from RNAcentral.